This 426-nucleotide ribosomal RNA is filed under the name Dasia olivacea. RNAcentral's name for it is "partial 16S rRNA". It matches the Rfam family "Bacterial large subunit ribosomal RNA", at positions 1970 to 2594 of the family's 2925-position model. The record is from RNAcentral. Lineage: Eukaryota; Metazoa; Chordata; Lepidosauria; Squamata; Scincidae.
UGUCUUCUAAAUAAAGACCAGUAUGAACGGCUAAAUGAAGACAAACCUGUCUCUUAUGAUCAAUCAGUGAAACUGAUCUUUCAGUACAAAAGCUGAAAUAUCUCCAUAAGACGAGAAGACCCUGUGGAGCUUAAAACAAACCACUACAGCCCUAAUGCAUGCUAGUACAAUGUUUUAAGUUGGGGCGACUUCGGAACAAAACAAAACUUCCGAGCACGGAGACACCCCCUCCAACCAUGGCCAACAAGCCGAAGCCAAAGACCCGACCCGGCCCCGCCGAACAACGAACCAAGUUACCCCAGGGAUAACAGCGCUAUCUUCUUCAAGAGUCCCUAUCGACAAGAAGGUUUACGACCUCGAUGUUGGAUCAGGACACCCAAAUGGUGCAGCCGCUAUUAAAGGUUCGUUUGUUCAACGAUUAACAGU